RNAcentral lists this ribosomal RNA (723 nucleotides) under Triticum aestivum (bread wheat). Its description in RNAcentral is "partial small subunit ribosomal RNA". Lineage: Eukaryota; Viridiplantae; Streptophyta; Magnoliopsida; Poales; Poaceae. The record is from RNAcentral.
AUGUCAGUUUCGUUAUUACAACCUUAUUUUUUUAUGUCAAAGACAAAAAGCUACGCGCAAAUUCUCAUUGGAUCUCGGUUGUUCUUAACAGCGAUGGCUAUUCAUUUAAGUCUUCGGGUAGCACCACCAGAUCUUCAACAAGGUGGAAAUUCUCGUAUUUCGUAUGUACAUGUUCCUGCGGCUCGGAUGAGUAUAGUUAUUUAUAUCGCAACAGCUAUAAACAGUUCCUUGUUCCCAUUAACAAAACAUCCCCUUUUUCUUCGCUCUUCCGGAACCGGUACAGAAAUUGGUGCUUUUUCUACUUUGUUUACGUUAGUGACUGGGGGGUUUUGGGGAAGGCCUAUGUGGGGUACCUUUCGGGUGUGGGAUGCUCGUUUAACUUCUGUAUUCAUCUUGUUCCUUAUUUACCUGGGUGCACUGCGUUUUCAAAAGCUUCCUGUCGAACCGGCUCCUAUUUCAAUCCGUGCUGGACCAAUCGAUAUACCAAUAAUAAAGUCUCCAGUCAACUGGUGGAAUACAUCGCAUCAACCUGGGAGCAUUAGCCGAUCUGGUACAUCAAUACAUGUUCCUAUGCCCAUUCCAAUCUUGUCUAACUUUGCUAACUUUCCCUUCUCUACCCGUAUCUUGUUCGUUCUGGAAACACGUCUUCCUAUUCCAUCUUUUCCCGAAUCUCCCUUAACGGAAGAAAUAGAAGCUCGAGAAGGAAUACCACUAAAAACCUAG